This 249-nucleotide ribosomal RNA is filed under the name uncultured bacterium. RNAcentral's name for it is "partial 16S ribosomal RNA". It matches the Rfam family "Archaeal small subunit ribosomal RNA", at positions 474 to 722 of the family's 1478-position model. The record is from RNAcentral.
UACCAGCACCCCGAGUGGUCGGGACGAUUAUUGGGCCUAAAGCAUCCGUAGCCGGUUUUACAAGUCCCCCGUUAAAUCCAGCUGCUUAACAGAUGGGCUGCGGAGGAUACUAUAAGACUAGGAGGCAGGAGAGGCAAGCGGUACUCAGUGGGUAGGGGUAAAAUCCGUUGAUCCAUUGAAGACCACCAGUGGCGAAGGCGGCUUGCCCAGAAUGCGCUCGACGGUGAGGGAUGAAAGCUGGGGGAGCAA